GGUUUCGUAAUGUACUUUCAGAUUUUGCAUGCAUACUAUAAUUUUCGGGGGCCUAAUCUAUGAAGUUUGCCUCAGGCCUCCAAAAUCAUAGGACCGACGCUACUACACACUAAGUUGAUUUCUAGUGAGUGGAUAUUGCUUGGGAUCAUGGACGGAACAGUGGUUUAUGCCUAUCUCUUUGCUUUUAUUCAUAACUUUGGAAAAUGAAUGAAGAAAAAAAAUUGAAUUGAGUAUUUAUUUUUUUUUAUUUUUUUUUUUUGUGACAG
Molecule: long non-coding RNA, 266 nt
Filed under: Olea europaea (common olive)
Lineage: Eukaryota; Viridiplantae; Streptophyta; Magnoliopsida; Lamiales; Oleaceae
Description: long non-coding RNA (OEUR_LNC014611)
Source: RNAcentral